RNAcentral lists this transfer RNA (74 nucleotides) under Sus scrofa (pig). It matches the Rfam family "tRNA". From Rfam's summary of the family: Transfer RNA (tRNA) molecules are approximately 80 nucleotides in length. Their secondary structure includes four short double-helical elements and three loops (D, anti-codon, and T loops). Lineage: Eukaryota; Metazoa; Chordata; Mammalia; Artiodactyla; Suidae. The record is from Rfam by way of RNAcentral.
UCCCUGGUGGCUCAGCAGGUUAAGGAGCUGGCAUUGUUACUGCUAUAGUUUGGGUUCAAUCCCUAGCCCGGGAA